GUCCUGAGUACCUUCUCCUCACUUACUCCGUAGCUCCAGCUUCACCAGAUCUCGGAAUGGACCCCAACUGCUCCUGCUCCACCGGCGGCUCCUGCACUUGCACCAGCUCCUGCGCCUGCAAGAACUGCAAGUGCACCUCCUGCAAGAAGAGCUGCUGCUCCUGCUGCCCCGUGGGCUGCUCCAAAUGUGCCCAGGGCUGUGUCUGCAAAGGCGCCGCGGACAAGUGCACGUGCUGUGCCUGAUGUGACGAACAGCGCUGCCACCACGUGUAAAUAGUAUCGGACCAACCCAGCGUCUUCCUAUACAGUUCCACCCUGUUUACUAAACCCCCGUUUUCUACCGAGUACGUGAAUAAUAA
Molecule: long non-coding RNA, 358 nt
Filed under: Androctonus crassicauda
Lineage: Eukaryota; Metazoa; Arthropoda; Arachnida; Scorpiones; Buthidae
Source: RNAcentral